GGGCCCGUAGCCUAGCACGGAUCAGGGCGUCAGCCUCCGAAGCUGAAGACCGAGGGUUCGAAUCCCUCCGGGCCCGCCA
This 79-nucleotide transfer RNA is filed under the name archaeon. Its description in RNAcentral is "tRNA-Arg". It matches the Rfam family "tRNA". Rfam says of the family: Transfer RNA (tRNA) molecules are approximately 80 nucleotides in length. Their secondary structure includes four short double-helical elements and three loops (D, anti-codon, and T loops). The record is from RNAcentral.